RNAcentral lists this ribosomal RNA (344 nucleotides) under uncultured eukaryote. RNAcentral describes it as "SSU rRNA". It matches the Rfam family "Eukaryotic small subunit ribosomal RNA", at positions 567 to 929 of the family's 1831-position model. The record is from RNAcentral.
CCAGCAGCCGCGGUAAUUCCAGCUCCAAUAGCGUAUAUUAAAAUUGUUGCAGUUAAAAAGCUCGUAGUUGAAGUUCUGGCAGUUGGGCCGAGUGCUUUUCAAGCGCUCGAUCCGCUGCCAUCCGCUUGUGAGCAAGUCAUCUGAUCUAACCGUCAGACCUUGCGAGCUAGCAUUUUACCUUGAGAAAAACAGAGUGUUCCAGGCAGGCUUCGCCGGAAUGCAUUAGCAUGGAAUAAUAGAAUACGUCUGAUAUUCAAGCAUUGGUUGCGAAUUCAGAAAUGAUUAAUAGGAACGGUCGGGGGCAUUGGUACUUGACAAGGCAGAGGUGAAAUUCGUGGAUUUGU